GUAACUUGAAAACUAGCAGCAGUCCUGACCUCUUCAUGAUUGUGUUUCUCUGUCCUAAAUUUUCAGCUGCAUUUUUUCUCCCAGUUUGAGAAGAUUCGAGACUGCCUUCAUGGAAAAGCAUCAUCAGCUGGAUUCAGAAUACAGGGAACUGGCUCAUGAAUGGACUGGGGCUGCAGAGGUGUUGAUAACUGGAGAUGCUUCCAAGAAAUACAUGCAGGAGUCAAGAUACAGCAAAGCAGAACUGUGGUGUUUAAGGUAUAAUUUUUGAUGUUAGAUAGGAUAAAUCUACUU
This 291-nucleotide long non-coding RNA is filed under the name Phasianus colchicus (ring-necked pheasant). RNAcentral's name for it is "lncRNA (ENSPCLG00000008827.1)". The record is from RNAcentral. Lineage: Eukaryota; Metazoa; Chordata; Aves; Galliformes; Phasianidae.